Molecule: ribosomal RNA, 432 nt
Filed under: uncultured bacterium
Lineage: Bacteria
Description: bacterial SSU rRNA
Rfam family: Bacterial small subunit ribosomal RNA
Source: RNAcentral
GCAUAACGCGAAGAACCUUACCAGGUCUUGACAUCCCUCUGCCGUGGAAACACGGCUUCCCUUCGGGGCAGAUUCACAGGUGGUGCAUGGCUGUCGUCAGCUCGUGUCGUGAGAUGUUGGGUUAAGUCCCGCAACGAGCGCAACCCUCGUCGCAUGUUGCCAGCAUUUAGUUGGGGACUCAUGCGAGACUGCCGGUGACAAACCGGAGGAAGGCGGGGAUGACGUCAAGUCAUCAUGCCCCUUAUGUCCAGGGCUACACACGUGCUACAUUGGCGCGUACAGAGGGCAGCGAUACCGCGAGGUGGAGCGAAUCCCAUAAAGCGCGUCUCGGUUCGGAUUGCAGGCUGAAACUCGCCUGCAUGAAGGUGGAGUUGCUAGUAAUCGUGGAUCAGCACGCCACGGUGAAUACGUUCCCGGGUCUUGUACACACCG